Molecule: long non-coding RNA, 755 nt
Filed under: Rattus norvegicus (Norway rat)
Lineage: Eukaryota; Metazoa; Chordata; Mammalia; Rodentia; Muridae
Description: long non-coding RNA NONRATT001853
Source: RNAcentral
AACACUUCAUGCGGAGCCUCGCCACUUCCUGAAAGAAGGAAAAGAACCCGGCAUUCAUGGAGACUGGCCAUCAUUCCUCCAACCCAGGACAGGCACGGGAGAAGUAUGGGCACCAAGAAUGGAGGGAAGUAUGUUGUAGAUGCUAGAUACUAUGUCAGCAGAAACACCAUACAGGUUCUGUACUUAUACAGAGACCCUGUCCCUUAGUUUGAGCUAUUCUUGCUCUAAAGCAGUGGUUCUCAAACUUCCUUUCAUACAGUUCUUCAUGUUCCGAUAAUUCUCAACCAUAAAAUUAUUUGUGUUACUACUUUACAACUUUAAUUUUGCUACUCUUAUGAAUUGUAAUAUAAAUACCUAUAUUUUCUCAUGGUCGUAACUAACCCGUGUGAAAGCAUCACUUGACCCCAAAGGUGUCACAACCCACAAUUUUUGAGAACCACUGCUCUAAAGGAAGAAUGUAACACAAAGCUUCCAUCCCUGGAUUUCAGUACAUACCGUUCCCUCUGGCUCGAUUAUAUUAACUCACUUAUAUUGUAAGGCUGGAAGAUGAUUCAAUCAGCAAAUCACCUGUUGCACAGGAAUGAGGACCCGAGUUCAGAUCCAAGCACCCAUGAACAAAACCUAGGCACAGUAUCAGCUAUCUGCAACCCCAGGGCUGCAGAGACUGAGGAAAGAAAUAUUUAAGGUUUGUAGUCCAGUUAUUUAUACUGUCCCUUGCAGCCUUUCUAUGAAUAUAAAUUAUUUGAUACUAAAGU